This 467-nucleotide ribosomal RNA is filed under the name uncultured bacterium. RNAcentral describes it as "partial 16S ribosomal RNA". It matches the Rfam family "Bacterial small subunit ribosomal RNA", at positions 28 to 507 of the family's 1533-position model. The record is from RNAcentral.
GACGAACGCUGGCGGCGUGCUUAACACAUGCAAGUCGAACGGAAAGGCCCUGCUUUUGUGGGGUGCUCGAGUGGCGAACGGGUGAGUAACACGUGAGUAACCUGCCCUUGACUUUGGGAUAACUUCAGGAAACUGGGGCUAAUACCGGAUAGGAGCUCCUGCUGCAUGGUGGGGGUUGGAAAGUUUCGGCGGUUGGGGAUGGACUCGCGGCUAUCAGCUUGUUGGUGGGGUAGUGGCUUACCAAGGCUUUGACGGGUAGCCGGCCUGAGAGGGUGACCGGCCACAUUGGGACUGAGAUACGGCCCAGACUCGUACGGGAGGCAACAGUGGGGAAUAUUGCACAAUGGGCGGAAGCCUGAUGCAGCAACGCCGCGUGCGGGAUGACGGCCUUCGGGUUGUAAACCGCUUUCGCCUGUGACGAAGCGUGAGUGACGGUAAUGGGUAAAGAAGCACCGGCUAACUACGUG